AUGAAUAUCUUGGCCUCGAACUGUCGGGGGUUGGGAUUGACCUCGACAGUUGGCGAACUCAGGGAUCUCAUUCGAUCCUACAAUCCUGCCGUGGUGUUUUUGUGUGAAACUCUUAAAACGGCUCGAGCGAUGGACAUAUUGAUGUGGAGCUUGGGAUUCAAGCAUGGUGUUGCGGUUGACUGUGUGGGGAGGAGUGGUGGUCUUGCUCUGUGGUGGAGGGACGAUGUUCAGGUGACGGUUAGGCCAUGGUACCAAUAUUAUAUUGAUACUCAUAUGAUGUGGCAGGGCAAGUCCUAUAGAGUCACUGGAUUCUAUGGGGAACCCAAAACGGACAGUCGGAAGAAGUCUUGGGACGCGAUUCGUUAUCUUCGUGCCCAGGAUGAACUUCCCUGGAUUUGCGUGGGCGACUUCAACGAAGCUCUCUUCCAAACCGACCAGAAAGGGGGGAAUCCUCACAACUUCUCUCAGAUGGAGGCCUUCAGGGACUGUCUCGCAGAUUGUGGCCUGGCUGACUUGGGUUUCUUGGGCUACCCUUUUACUUGGGACAACAAACGUGAUGGCACCGAGAACAUCCAGGUGCGGUUGGAUAGGGCAACGUGCAAUGAUGAUUUUCUGAACCUCUUCCCUGCCACCGAAGUUGAGUAUGUGAUGACGGAGGAGUCGGAUCAUCAAGCGGUCGUGGUGCAUGCAUUGGAGACUGCUCCAGUUCGGGGUGUAAGGGGACCGAGGCCCUUCCAAUUCGAGGAAGCAUGGACUAGACACGAUCAAUAUGAAGGCAUGGUGGAGGCUGCUGAAGGAAAUAUGCCCUAG
RNAcentral lists this ribosomal RNA (810 nucleotides) under Triticum aestivum (bread wheat). RNAcentral's name for it is "partial small subunit ribosomal RNA". The record is from RNAcentral. Lineage: Eukaryota; Viridiplantae; Streptophyta; Magnoliopsida; Poales; Poaceae.